AUAAAUGCGUCAAGUUUUGGAUGCGCUACAUUUUUAUACAAUAUCUUCAACUUGCUCUCAGGCCAGCGCACAGGAAAGCCAUGACUCUCGUGAGGGAGAGGAACAAGACACAUAGGAGGUGUUCUAGGGCAACUUCUCUCGGUGUGCCUAUAGCUUUGCAGCCUUCCAGUACCACUCUCAAUGUCAAUACAGGGAAUGUAAUUGUGUUUGCUUCUUGUGCUGCAU
Molecule: unclassified non-coding RNA, 225 nt
Filed under: Hevea brasiliensis (rubber tree)
Lineage: Eukaryota; Viridiplantae; Streptophyta; Magnoliopsida; Malpighiales; Euphorbiaceae
Source: RNAcentral